Molecule: ribosomal RNA, 750 nt
Filed under: uncultured bacterium
Lineage: Bacteria
Description: bacterial SSU rRNA
Rfam family: Bacterial small subunit ribosomal RNA
Source: RNAcentral
CAGGCCUAACACAUGCAAGUCGAACGGAAAGGCUCCAGCUUGCUGGAGUACUCGAGUGGCGAACGGGUGAGUAACACGUGGGUAAUCUGCCCUGCACUCUGGGAUAAGCCUGGGAAACUGGGUCUAAUACUGGAUAUGACCUUUCUCCUUAUGGGGUUUGGUGGAAAGUUUUUCGGUGUAGGAUGAGCCCGCGGCCUAUCAGCUUGUUGGUGGGGUGAUGGCCUACCAAGGCGACGACGGGUAGCCGGCCUGAGAGGGUGAUCGGCCACAUUGGGACUGAGAUACGGCCCAGACUCCUACGGGAGGCAGCAGUGGGGAAUAUUGCACAAUGGGCGGAAGCCUGAUGCAGCGACGCCGCGUGAGGGAUGACGGCCUUCGGGUUGUAAACCUCUUUCAGCAGGGACGAAGCGUAAGUGACGGUACCUGCAGAAGAAGCACCGGCUAACUACGUGCCAGCAGCCGCGGUAAUACGUAGGGUGCGAGCGUUGUCCGGAAUUACUGGGCGUAAAGAGCUCGUAGGCGGUUUGUCACGUCGUCUGUGAAAUCCUAGGGCUUAACCCUGGACGUGCAGGCGAUACGGGCUGACUUGAGUACUACAGGGGAGACUGGAAUUUCUGGUGUAGCGGUGGAAUGCACAGAUAUCAGGAAGAACACCGAUGGCGAAGGCAGGUCUCUGGGUAGUAACUGACGCUGAGGAGCGAAAGCAUGGGUAGCGAACAGGAUUAGAUACCCUGGUAGUCCAUGCCGUAA